Orcinus orca (killer whale) is the source of this 11094-nucleotide long non-coding RNA. RefSeq lists it as uncharacterized. The record is from RefSeq and is a predicted model, not a curated record. The transcript is spliced from 2 exons. Lineage: Eukaryota; Metazoa; Chordata; Mammalia; Artiodactyla; Delphinidae.
ACCUGGUCCUCAGGGCGCAUGCUUGGCCGGGGCGCGGAAGGCGGGGCGCAGGGGGCUGAGUGGGACCUGGCUGCGCUCCCACGUGGUCUUCCGCGGGGCCGCCGAGGGCCGAGCCUUGCUCACCGUGUCCGAGGGAUCUGAGUCCCAAGACGACACGCAGCAAACAGGAGGACGCUGGAAGGAUUCAAUAUAGAACAUUCACCCUUACUUGAAGUUUCCAAGUAAACCAAGUUUAUGCUUCCAAACAAACCAAGUUUUGUGUUUGUUUCAUGUAAAAAUGCCUCCUUUAAAUUACUAAAAUCUGAAGAAAACAUUCCGGCCCAUCAGAGAGUUCACAUGAGCACAAAACCUGUACAAGGCAAGCAAGUAGAAAAGACUUGGGGAAGUUACCGAUGUAGAUCCAUCCAGAUCGUAGAAAACUGGUGAAGCCCCAUCACUGUGAAGAAGGUGUGAAACACGUGAAAUGCUUGGGGGAAUGAGGAGUGAGCUACGUGGCUCACUCAGCUUCACUCACUUUUAUGCCCUCACAGGAGGAAUCCUGGUAGUGAGGGAAUCAAGUCUUUCAGAUGAUAUACAAAAUGAACUCUUGUGAUCUCCUGAUUUCCCUUAUGGCCCUGCCUCGCAGUUGAUCUCAAUUUUUACUGCCUCCAAUAUUUGUAGUGCACCCAUUCAGCUCUGCAACGUAACAGACCUUACUCUCCUGGGACUUCACUCUAAGGACAGUAAUCUAAUCAAUUCCAAGAAAAUACGGUAAGUGCUAAGAAAAGGUGAUGAAGAGCAGGACCCUGUCCAGAGGUGAGAAGACUUUCCAGCAGUGAUACAGGCUGGUGAGGGGAAGAGAGAGUGUUAUCUGCACAGGCAGCAGCCAGGGCAAAGUUCCCGAGGUAUGAGAACAAUUCACAGGUAACAAAACUUGAGGGUGGCCUGAGAGGUGCAGGUGUAUGACCCAUCUCCAGUCCUUCCAGACCCCAGUGAGAAUCUGAGCACAUACUUGGAAUAGCCAAGCCAUUCAGUAGUCUCAGUUCCCCCCCUCACAAAGGCAUUUUUUUCUUUUCCUCUUUUCAAUACCUUAUUCUUCCACUCCUCUCUCCAGGACAAGAACAGAGAUGUAGGAGGAGGCAGUGGCAAGGAGAGGAGGGAAGGGUGGAGCAGAGUGAUGCUCCUCAAAGUGGGAUUGUAUGUUUUGUAAACGUUCACCUAAUGACAGUCUUCAGGAAACAGCUCUUAGAUUCCCAGCACCGUCAAUCCGAUCAACUCUAUUACUCUGGGGCCUAGAAGUCAGUUUGCAGCCGCCUGGUUUAAUUCCCAGCAAGUUCUCAAAAGCCCUGCUAUUAAUGCUUUUCUUGAGUCUGUGGACCUAGAAGUGCCAUGAGUCACGGAGGGGAUACCCAAGGCAGUCCAUCAAGGUGGGGAAGAAAACACUUAAACUUCCAUAUAGCUUUAAUCUAAAAGCAAGGAAAGAAAAUAGAGUAAAAAAUGUAAGCCUUGGUAAGCACAGCCACUGAGGCUUGAUGGGCUCUGAGUAGGGUGUUCCUGACCUGGCUGGAGCCCGGGGCCCCCACCCGCCCCCGCCCUGCCCCUUCCUGUCACCUGGGGCCAACGAAAUGACCAUUAAGAAGUGAUGCCAUGGGACUUCCCUGGUGGUCUGGUGGCUAAGGCUCUGCCCUCCCAAUGCAGGGGGCCCGAGUUCCAUCCCUGGUCAGGGAACUAGAUCCCACAUGCCACAACUAAGACCCAGCACAGCCAAAUGAAUACAUAAAUAUUAAAGUGAUGAAACAGUCCAUUUGUCCUAAAGUAAGCUGCAGCUGUGGCUUUGCAAACAGAUUAGAACAAAAUUGUAUCUAUCUUGUUCUGUAUCGCAGAAGAGACUUACACAAGAAUUUAUCUCUGAAGCCUAGAAUUUGGCUUAGAAUUGUUCAUAUCUCUAUUUCCUCUUGAAUCAGAUUUGGUAAGUUAAUUUCUUCUAUGAAUUUAUCUGUUUCAUCUAAAACCUCGAAUCUUCCGGUAUGAUAUUAUUUGUAACAUUAUCUUAUCUUUGAAGUAUCUAAUUUUGAGCAGUUUUCAAAGUAUGUUCUGUGGACCUGUGUGGGUCCCUGCAACCAGGUGGUCUGGGAGGUCAAAACUGUUUUCAUAAGAUAGAUUUUUUUGUCUUUCUCACUGUGUUGACUUUGCAGUGAUGCUACAAAAGUAAUGGUGGGUGAAACUGCUAAUGCCUAAGCAUAAAUUUCAGGUAAUGGCACAAAACUGAACUAUUAUAUUCUUCAUUGCCAUGCAUUCAUAGUUUUUUUAAAAAUCCAGUUUCAUUUAAGAAUGUCCUUGAUGAAGCAGUAAAAGUAUUGAUUUCAUUUUAAAAAUAAUAAGCUUUAUCAGAGGUCCAUAGAAGGAAGGGUACUGGUGGCCGUAUGUGGGUCUCAUGUCAGACUGUAGCCGUUUUCAGACAAGGAUAUGAGGACCUGGGGGAGGGGGCAUAGGGAAGGGGGAGGGUGGAGAACACACAAAUCUUCCCAAAGAGUGUGAGGACACAGCCAGUUCUGAAAGAAUCAAUUCCCAGAUCCUUCUUUCUUUUUUUUUUUUAAGUUGUUUCAAACUAGUUUAUUUAGGGGUUCCAUUUUCACUCCUCAAUAGAUUUUAUGUAUUUCUCAUAUGCUUCUUCACUCAUUAGGUCAUCUAGUUCUGAAGGGUUACUGAAUGCUUUCUUGAUCAGCCAACCAUCUUCAUAACAAGAUUUGUUGACAAGUCCUGGAUUUUCUGCUAGAGCUUCAUUCAUUUCUGUUACAUCUCCUGAUAGAGGAGAGUGGAGUUCACUAGCAGCUUUCACACUUUCCAAAGCACCAAAUUCCUCGUUUGUUCAAUUUUGUCCCAACUUCAGGCAGACUACAGUAAACAACAUCUCCCAAAGCUUCCUGUGCAAAACUCCUGAUUCCCUUGGUUCCCACAUCGUUUUCUGUUGUUACCCAUUCAUGUUUGUGAAUUCACGACCCGACAGCAGAGCCGGGCCAGUGUGCCACGGCGACAGAGACGGUGCACAGGCUGCAGACCUCGGCCCUGCACAGUCCCCACAGCUUUCAGUGCCAUGUUUGCCGCAGAUCCUCAUUUUCUAUCUGUUCACAUUUAAAACUGCUCUCCUGGAAAGCAUCCCAGUGGCCAGGGCACCCUCUUUCUCGGUCACCUUCCCCACCUGGCAGAAGAUAGGCUUCUCGCCCCCAAAUCUUGCAAUGGUGCAUUGCCCUCAGGGUGUCAAAACUUCUGGGGUACCAAACAAAAGGAUUCUUUGGGAAUCUUGCGUCCAAUAUAUACUUUUUCAUUAUUGGAAUAAAAUUGCUUUACGAUGUUGUGUUAGUUUCUGCUGUACAAUGAAGUGAAUCAGCUAUAUGUAUACCUACAUCCCCUCCCUCCUACCCCCCCACCCAUCCCACCCAUCUAGGUGGUCACAGAGCACCAAGCUGAACCCGCUGUGCUAUACACCAGUUUCCCACUAGCUAUUUUACACAUGGUAGUGUAUAUAUGUCAAUCCUAAUUUCCCAAUUUGUCCCACCCUCUCCUUCCCCCACUGUGUCCAUACACCCAUUCUCUACAUCUGCGUCUGUAUUCCUGCCCUACACAUAGGUUCACCUGUACCAUUUUUCUAGAUUCCAUAUAUAUGCGUUAAUAUGUGAUACUUGUUUUUCUUUUUCUGGCUUACUUCACUCUGUAUGACAGGCUCUAAGUCCAUCCACAUCUCUACAAAUGACCCAAUUUCGUUCCUUUUUAUGGCUGAGUAAUAUUCCAUUGUAUAUAUGUACCACAUCUUCUCUAUCCAUUCAUUUGUACUUGGACAUUUAGGUUGCUUCCAUGUCCUGGCUAUUGUAAAUAGUGCUGCAAUGAACAUUGGGGUACAUGUGUGCUUUUGAAUUAUGGUUUUCUCAGGGUAUAUGCCCAGUAGGGGGAUUGCUGGUUCAUAUGGUAGUUCUAUUUUUAGUUUUUUAAGGAACCUCCAUACCGUUCUCCAUAGUGGCUGUAUCAAUUUACAUUCCCACCAACAGUGCGAAAGGGUUCCCUUUUCUCCACACCCUCUCCGGCAUAUAUUGUUUGUAGAUUUUUGAUGAUGGCCAUUCUGACUGGUGUGAGGUGAUACCUCACUGUAGUUUUGAUUUGCAUUUCUCUAAUAACUAGUGAUGUUGAGCAUCUUUUCAUGUGCCUCUUGGCCAUCUGUAUGUCUUCCUUGGUGAAAUGUCUAUUUAGGUCUUCCACCCAUUUUUUAAUCGGGUUGUUUGUUUUUUUGAUAUUGAGUUCCAUGAGCUGUCUGUAUAUUUUGGAGAUUAAUCCUUUGUCCUUUGCUUCAUUGGCAAAUAUUUUCUCCCAUUCUGAGGGUUGUCUUUUCAUCUUGUUUAUGGUUUCCUUUGCUGUGCAAAAGCUUUUAAGUUUAAUUAGGUCCCAUUUGUUUGUUUUUAUUUUCAUUACUCUAGGAGGUGGGUCAAAAAAGAGCUUGCUGUGGUUUAUGUCAAAGAGCAUUUUUCCUAUGUUUUCCUCUAAGAGUUUUAUAGUGUCUGGCCUUACAUUUAGGUCUUUAAUUCAUUUGGAAUUUAUUUUUUGUGUAUGGUGUUAGGUAGUGUUCUAAUUUCAUUCUUUUACAUAUAGCUGUCCAGUUUUCCCAGCACCACUUAUUGAAGAGGCUGUCUUUUCUCCAUUGUAUGUUCUUGCCUUUGUCAUAAAUUAGGUGACCAUAUGUGUGUGGGUUUACCUCUGGGCUUUCUAUCUUGUACCAUUGGUCUAUAUUUCUGUUUUUGUGCCAGUACCAUACUGUCUUGAUUACUGUAGCUUUGUAGUAUAGUUUGAAGUUGGGGAGCCUGAUUCCCUGAGCUCUGUUUUUCUUUCUCAGGAUUGCUUUGACUAUUUGGGGUCUUUUGUGUUUCCAUACAAAUUGUUAAAUAUUUUGUUCUAAUUCUGUGAAGAAUGCCAUUGGUAGUUUGAUAGGGAUUGCGUUGAAUCUGUAGAUUGCUUUGGGUAGUAUAGUCAUUUUCACAAUAUUGAUUCUUCCAAUCCAAGAAUAUGGUGUAUUUCUCCAUCCGUUUAUGUCAUCUUUGAUUUCUUUCAUCAGUGUUUUAUAGUUUUCUGAAUACAAGUCUUUUGCCUCCUUAGGUAGGUUUAUUCUUAGGUAUUUUAUUCUUUUUCUUGGUACCCCAAAACUUCUGGGGUACCAAACAAAAGGAUUCAUUGGGAACCUUGCUGCCAAUAUCGAGUAGGUGAAUAAGUCCUUUGUGAUUCAAGUGAUUUCCUAUUAUUUCCCUCCAAAAAAAAUGAGAGGAGGCCAAGGCCAUCGCUGGUGAUAGAUCACAAUAUGAUUUUGGCAGAUAAAAUUGACAUUGCUAUAACUAUAUUCCUUUCACCACUCAUCUCACUUAAGUAGGGAAUUCCCUGGCUGUCCAGUGGUUAGGACUCGGCGGUUUCACUGCCGGGGCCCAGGUUCCAUCCCUGGUCGGGGAACUAAGAUCCCACAAGCUGUGCGGGGCACGGCCUAAAUUAAUUAAUUAAUUAAAAAACAAAAGUAGCAGGGCGAUCAGCUCCGUGCUUUGCGAUGACCUAGAGGGUGGGAUAGGGAGGAUGGGAGGGAGGCUCAAGAGGGAGGGGAUAUGGGGACAUAUGUAUGCAUAUGGCUGAUUCACUUUGGUGUAGAACAAAAACUAACACAGUAUUGUGAAGCAGUUAUACCCCAAUAAAGAUCUAUUAAAAAAACAAAAAAAAAACCCCAAAAGUAGUAAUAGACAUAAUAUUUCAUUCCGGUAAUAAGUAAUGCCCAUCUAUUGAGAAAAACAAGACAGUUCCCUCCAUCUCACUGAGAUAAAUUCUAAUAAAAAUAACUUUUUGUUACUCAUAGAUCAGAUUUGUUACACAUUUCUUUUUUUUUAAAUAUUUAUUUAAGUUUUGGCUGCAUCGGGUCUUAGUUGCGGCAUACAGGAUCUUUUGUUGCGGUGCACGGGCUUCUCUCUAGUUGUGACACACGGGGUCAUUAGUUGCAGCAGGUGCGUAGGCUCCAGAGCAAGGGGGCUCAGUAGUUGUGGCACUCGGGCUCUAGGGCGCAAGGGCUUAGUUGCUCUGUGGCAUGUGGGAUCUUAGUUCCCCAACCAGGGAUAGAACCCAAGUCGUCUGCAUUGCAAGGUGGAUUCUUAACUACUGGACCGCCAGGGAAGUCCCUAUUGUACAUUUCUAUUUUGAUCAAUUGUAAAGUCCUACUUAUCAUGAUAACCCAAUCCAGGAGAAAUUUUUUUAAAUACUUAAAGCCUUAUAUUCACGGAAAACUUUAAUUAAAUUUCAGUUUAUAUACAAUUUUUUUUGCAGAGAAUUAUGGUAAGUCGAUCAGUUAUCAGUAGGUACCAAUCUUGUUUCAUCUGCAGUCCCACUCGUCCUCCUCCUGAUUAUUUUGAAGCAAAUCCCAGAUAUAACAUCAUUUUUUGUGUAAAUAUUAUUUUUCACACUUAAAAAAAUUGAAGUAGAGUUACAAUAUUAUAUGAGUUUCAGGUGUACAUUAUAGUAAUUCAGUAUUUUUAUGUAAAUAUUUAUUUUACAGAAUAAUUACAGUAUAAUUGCCCAUAUGAUAAGGACUCAUGAAACAUGGAACUAUGAAACCAAACCUCUGAAGGACAGAAUCGCCCCCAGCUGAGAACCACUGGGUUAGGGUGAAAAGGUCUCUCCCUGAGAUUAGUUAGGAUGGCUGCCUUCCUUCAGAGAACUGGUGAGGCUGGGGAAGGGCACCUUGGCUCUGGAAGCAGCAGCUGGAGCCGAGUACCAGAUUCCAUGACCACACUCCAAACGUGGCUUUGGGAAUAGCGUUGUUUCUCAUGUAGUUUGUCUCCUUUGAGAGAGAUUCAACCAAGUUCCUCAGCUGACUGAGCUCAAGCUGCAGUCCCAUCCCUGAGGGACAAUUGACAAGGAAGCUGCCCCAUCUUUUCUGCUCCAGGGCAACCUGGCUCCCAGGAUGUAGAAAAAAGGUUUUAGCCUAUUUGUCUGCGAGCUGCCUUCAUCCAGUGACACACUGUGGAAAGAGCUGGCCUGCAAAAGCUGCUGCCCUCAGGGUAAGACCCUGUGCCAGGCCCCAAGGCCAGCCUGGGAGCAAGGACUUCCACUCCACCCUUGUGCUCAGGAACCACCAUCACCAGGCCAGUUUCUCCCCAUCACCUGGCCCCUCCUGUCCAACAUCUCAAUAUAGGACCCAAGAGGACUCAAGACAGGUGUCUAGGGAAUUACCUGGUGGUCCAGUGGUUAGGACUCCACACUUCCAUUGCAGGGGGCACAGGUUCGAUCCCUCUGGGAACUAAGAUCCUGCAUGCCCCGGUGGCUUGGCCAAAAAGAAAAAAAAAAUAAAUUAAAUUAAAAAUAAAUAAAUAAAAAUAAAAUGCUUCUUUAAAAAAAAAAAAAAUACAGGGUCUAAGUACUCGGGCAUCCGGGACAGUGGGAGGGAGCAGGCUUGAAGCUCUGGGGAGGGACAGACAGGACAUCUGGAUGUCCUUCUAUUCCAGCUCUGUGCGUGUGAGCAUUCUUAGGGGAUCCACCUGGACCCCAAACUGAAUUAGAGGGGCACUCUAGUUAGUUUUUAGUGGUUAUUGGAAACGGAUGCAUGAUUCUAUAGUUCUCUUUCACCUUUACAUCAAGUGCCCUAAGAUUCUGUACGGGGAUGGCAUUUUUUCUUCACAUCCCUGGAAUAAGAGAGCCCCCUUUAUCCUGUCUUUUGGUCAGAACUGCUGUGCUAAUCCCGUUGGAUCACCACUUUACACCGCACAGCCCAGGGCAACAGCGGCUCUGGGGCAUCCAGCUGUAAGCGUUUCCUGCUCAGUAACUGGAAGUUCCUGGCCUCAGGGAGGUGUUAGCGCUGCAAUCCGGUGCUUCAUCGCGCGUGUAAUUUAGCCUCUCCAGGAUAACUCGCGCGAAGAAGGGGAAGGAGGGUGAUGAAGGGCCCCGGACAGCACGCAGAAUCCGAAGGCAGGAUCCUUCUCAGAGUUGGGAACUCAAGGAACUUUAAGGGAAGCAGGCAAUCCCUAAGCGAUCUGACCCAGCUUCCUCCUCUGUGGGUCGAUUCCAUUCUCCUCUCUACGAGCCCACUCCGCUUACUCAUGCGCAUGCGCACAGGACCCCAGGAUUAGUUAGGCGUCUCAGCCACCGUUUCUUGUCCGUACUGAAGGCUUCUCUGAGGCCAGAGGAAGGGAGAUAAUGUGCUUUUACAUCCAGGAGUGAGUCCCAUUGGUGGCCACAGGACAGGAAGGCCUCUGUUGGGAGGUCAGCUCACUUGUCAGUUAUUUUCAGAGGUGGCAAAAAUUCAUAUGGGUUUUUUGCAAAUGAAGUUUUCAAUUUUGGAUAAGUAGCCAGAUUCCCUGGAUGGCACAUGCUAUGAACGGCUAUGGCUGGGCUGGAGCCCAGAGUCUGUCUGCUUCCCGUGGGUGGAGGGCGGGCGUCCUGCACCCGCGCCCAGCAGGUCAUCUCCCAGGGGCCGCCACACUUGACUGCGGCCCUUCCGUUUAUCUCCACGGCCGCUGCUUGUUCCAGUAAGGCCUGCCUGUAGCCCUCGAGUCGUGACUGGCUCCCGCAAGAUGUUCCGAUGAAACUCCAGGGGAAGAGGUGUCUGAAUUCAACUGAUGCUUCUGCACCUUUAUACGUAGCAGGAAUUGAUGGCUUACAUGCUUGCACUUUUCCAGUCCCUUAAGUGUUAGAGGGGAUUUUCCCAUUCAGGGACUGCUGUAUGUAGAGGGUGACAGUGGAACACGGAGAUCACUCCUUAACCCUCCUUCCUUCCACCUCCGAUGGUCCAACAGAAACAAUAAAGACUGUGAAGCAAGAAAGGGAAAUCACAGCUUUUCUUAAAAACGGGAUUGCUGCCUGUGCUCUCAGAGAGGCCCCUCUCACUGCAACAGCGCCACCUGCUGACACAGCCACAAGGUACCUCUGCCACUGAAGAACUCCAGACCCAGGAGGCUUUGUAGCUCUCCAGCUUGAUACCCCAUUUUCGGAUGAGUCAAGUCGAACCUGACAGUUAACAAGAUGGGAAGAGCCUAAGAGGCCUCGCUAAGUCAAAUAGAAAUGGUAUAUUUAAAAGCGCAGUCAGCCUGGCCCUUGAGGGAUUUUACAUGAAAAAGUGGCAGCUACUUACCUUGGGAGAAACCACCUGAAACAAGGUCCUGAUUCUGGGGCCCUCAAGUGUCACAGGUUCCCUUAAAUGCCCGGCCUUGGUUCACUGAUGACUUAGCCAAGGUGAAACCUGAUGGGUGCGUUGGGUGGCCACUGCCAUCCAGCCUCAUGGCCAGCUACGUAAAACCGGAAGUGGAUGUCACGAUGGGCAGAAGUCAAGGCCAUUCUCAUCCUGAGUCUGGCCAGCACUCCCCUUGAUGAACCUCGUUACAUUUUACCGACUUGGGCUACUAGCCAAUGGCCUGGCUGCUUGGUUCACUUGGAAGAGGACAGAUAUGGAGAAUUAAAGACACACCCUUGGGGCGGUAAACUAUGGAAUCACACCUUGGUCCUAUCUGACAGAUGGGUCAUUCAUGUGGAUGCCCAGAGUGGGGACCUGGUCUCUAAGACUCCCUGGCUGUUGAUCAAGCCUGCACCGCCCAGAAGCUCCCUCCUGUUCCUGGUAAACUGACUCCAUCGAACCUUUAACACCUGCUAUGGGCUCUCUUGAUGCUGGUGUCCCUGUUCCAGGCCAGUCGGCUGACUCAGGCCACGUCAUUAUAGCCCUUGAAACUGUGUUAUGUUUUAGGCUUUGCAGAUCCUCUACAGUCUGAUAUUGAUGCACCUUCUGUUACAAAAGCCACUCACCGGGGGCCAAUAGUCAAGGUGUUGGAUGGACAUUCCACACUCCCUACCACCCACAGCAUCUGGGUACCACGCACUGGAAUGACCUCUUUCAAGUCAGCUCUACUUCCCUCACUUCCUUCUGGUCCACACACUGUAGUAAGGCAGCCUGGUCACUGAAUGUGGCUGUCCCUUCUUGGUUGGCCAUCUCUUGGGUAAUGAUCAGGAUGAAAGGGAUGGGGGGCUUUCUAGACUUAUUUUGAAAAUCCAAGAGUCUGCCCUGACCACUUGUUGGUAUGGCAUUUCUUUUCUUUCCCCUAAUAGCUACCCUAGGCCAGCCUGGCUGGUAGACUCUCUUGAGUACAGCCCAGUCAAAAGGGAGCCUAGAGAAUUCCAGCUUAAUUCUGGCCCAGCCAUCAGGAUUCUCUUGUUGGAUUGAUGUGGUUCUAGAUCAUGUGACUGAGGACACUGCUCUCUCCAGCUCCCCUAUAGUGGCUCACACUUGCUGUGGCAGGCUAGACAGUGGCCCCAAGAUUUCUGGGUCCUAAUCCUUGGAACCUGUGAAGGGGAUUUUGCAGAUAUGAUUAAGUUAAGAAUCUUCAGAUAGGGAGAUUAUCCUGGAUUAUCCCAGUGGGCACUAAAUGUAAUCCCAAGUGUCCUUAUAAGAGGGAGGUAGAGACAGAUUUUACAACAGAGGGCAAUAUGAUAAUGGGAAUAGAAGGACAAAGAGAGAGAUUUGAAGACGCUGCUAAAAUACUGGAUUUGAAGACAAGGAAGAAGCCAUGAACUAAGAAAUGUAAGGAAUGCAGUUCUAGAAACUGGAAAAGACAUCAAAAGGGAUUCUCCCCUAGAAGGAAUGUGGCCCUGCAGACACUUUGGUUUCAGAUCAGUGGAAACUAUUUCAGACCUCUGACCCCCAGAACUGUAAGACAAUAAAUGUGUGAUGUUUUAAGCCACAAAGUCUGUGGUAAUUUAUUUCAGCAAUGAUGGGAAACAAAUACAUGUGCCACAGUGGCCAGAGUAAUGGGUCUUUGUAAAUUUUGUAAAAAUGCCUCGUCACUCACACCUGACCCAUCUGAACAAAAGGUCUGGAAAUAGGGGAUAAUUGGAGAAAAGGAGAAGCCAUAGUUACUGGGAUGUGACAUCCACCACCAUCCAUAGUUACUUUUUCUUGUGAUGAGAAAUUUUAAGAUGUACUCUCGGGAAUUCCCUGGUGGUCCAGUGGUUAGGACUCUGCGCGUUCACUGCCGGGGGCCCGGGUUCAAUCCCUAGUCAGGGAACUAAGAUCCCACAAGCUGCUUAGCAUGGCAAAAAAAAAAUAAAAAAUAAAAAAAUAAA